AUGGUCCUCAUUUUCCUGGCAGCCCUGGUGGAACUGGCAGACUUUGGUCAUGCCCAAAAGGACUCUGUGCUCCAGUUCCCAGCAGAAAUGACCAUCCAGGUGGGACACAACGCGACUCUGCACUGCAAUUUCUCCACCAGCUAUUCCAAUCCAUACAUGUUUUGGUACCAGCAGUGCCAGACUCAGUCCCCUCAGAUGCUGCUGCGGGUGGACAAAUGGAAACCUCAAGUGGAUUCAGGGAGGUUCUCCUCUACACUGUCUGUGGAGACCUCGCAGGUGUUUCUGCAUGUGCGGGAUGCCGAGCUCCAGGAUGGCACUGCCUAUUUCUGUGCACUGAGCCCACAGCAGUGCCCACAGGGAAUCACCAGUGCUGGAGGGAGCCCCUAUGUUCCUGAGUCCAUGACAGUUUCUCUGUCCAACAGCUGGUAA
Non-coding RNA from Grus americana (Whooping crane), 429 nucleotides. NCBI's taxonomy places the organism in Eukaryota, Metazoa, Chordata, Aves, Gruiformes, Gruidae. The record is from the annotation of a RefSeq genome assembly.